RNAcentral lists this long non-coding RNA (1453 nucleotides) under Gallus gallus (chicken). RNAcentral's name for it is "lncRNA (ENSGALG00010000478.1)". Lineage: Eukaryota; Metazoa; Chordata; Aves; Galliformes; Phasianidae. The record is from RNAcentral.
GUGCGGACCUCCGGGCGGUUGGGGGCGCUGUAGGCGAAAUCCGGGUGGGCGGAAGUCGGGGAGGGGGAGAGGAGGAGGAGGAGGAGGAGGAAGAGAGGCGCCAUCGCGGGGGGCUGUGGGGAGAAACAGCUGUUAGGGGGCGCUAUGGGGCGGGGUUAUGGGGUGGGGUUAUGGGGUAGGGGGGGUUAUGGGGUGGUGGGGGGGGUUAGGGGUUAUGGGGCUAUAGGGCGGGGUUAGGGGGUGGGGGGUUUGUGGGGUGGGGGGGUUGGGGGGGUUAUGGGGCUAUAGGGUGGGGUUAUGGGGUGGGGGGGUUAUGGGGGUGGGUUGUGGGGGGGGUUAUGGGGCUAUAGGGUAGGGUUAUGGGGUGUUAUGGGGUGCUAUGGGGUGGUUAUGGAGUGGUUAUGGGGUGCUAUGGGGUGGCUAUGGGGGGGUUAUGGGGUUAUGGGGUGGAUAUGUGGUGGCGAUGGGGUGGAUAUGGGGUUCUGAUGGGGUUAUGGGGUGGCUAUGGGGGGGUUAUAGGGUGGUUAUGGGGUGGUGAUGGGGUUAUGGGGUGGUUAUGGGGUGAUGGAGCGGGGUUAUGGGGCUAUAGGGUGGGAUUAUGGGGUUAUGGGUGGGGUUAUGGGGUGGUUAUGGCGUGGUUAUGGGGUGAUGGAGUGGAGUUAUGGGGCUAUAGGGUGGGGUUAUGGGGUUAUGGGGUUAUGGGGUGGCUAUAGGGGCGGUGAUGGGGUGGUGAUGGGUUGAUGGAAUGGGGUUAUGGGGCUAUAGGGUGGGGUUAUGGGGUGGUUAUGGGGUGAUGGAGUGGGGUUAUGGGGUUGUGGGGUGGUUAUGGGGCUGCUUAUGGGGUUGUGGGGCUGAGUUGUGCAGCAGAGCCUCCCAGGGCCAUCUGUGGGGCAGAUCUAUGGGGCAGAGCCCCCUCAGUGCCAUCUAUGGGGCAGAUCUAUGGGGCAGAGCCCCCCCAGUGAAAUCUAUGGGGCAGAUCUAUGGGGCAGAGCCAUACCUGUGCCAUCUAUGGGGCAGAGCCCCCCCAGUGCCGUCUAUGGGGCAGAUCUAUGGGGCGAAUCUAUGGGGUACAGCCUCCCCAGUGAAAUCUAUGGGGCAGAGCCUCCUCAGUUACCAUCUAGGAAGCGGAUCUAUGGGGCAGAGCCCCCCCAGUGAAAUCUAUGGGGCAGAUCUAUGGGGCAGAGCCAUACCUGUGCCAUCUAUGGGGCAGAUCUAUGGGGCAGAGCCACACCUGUGCCAUCUGUAGGGCGGAUCUAUGGGGCAGAGCCCCCCCAGUCGGAUCUAUGGGGCAGAUCUAUGGGGCAGAGCCCCCCCAGUGAAAUCUAUGGGGCGAAUCUAUGGGACAGAGUCCCCUCAGUGCCACCUAUGGGGCAGAGCCCCCCCAGUGCCAUCUAUGGGGCAGAGCCCCCCCAGUGCCACCCAUGGGGCAGAUCUAUGGGGCAGAGCCCACCCA